RNAcentral lists this ribosomal RNA (465 nucleotides) under uncultured bacterium. RNAcentral's name for it is "partial 16S ribosomal RNA". It matches the Rfam family "Bacterial small subunit ribosomal RNA", at positions 28 to 507 of the family's 1533-position model. The record is from RNAcentral.
GACGAACGCUGGCGGCGUGCUUAACACAUGCAAGUCGAACGGAAAGGCCCCUUUUGGGUUCCUCGAGUGGCGUACGGGCGAGUAACACGUGAGUAACCUGCCCUUGUGUUCGUGGUAACUUCAUGAAAGUGGGGCUAAUUCCGGAUAGGUCUCAUUACAGCUUGGUUGGGAUUGGAAAGAUUGGUGGGUUUUGGGUGGUUUCACGGGUCAUUUGCUUGUUAGUGGGGUAGUGGGUUACCACGGCUCCUACGGGUCGCCGGCCUGGGGGGGCGACAGGCGACCAUGGGACUGAGGGACGGCCCAGUCGCCUACUGGCGGCAAAAGUGGGGAAGCUUGCACAAUGGGCGCGAGCCGGAUGAAGAAGCGCCGCGGGCGGGAAGACGUGUUUCGGGGGGUAAACCAGUUUCAGCAUGGGCGAAGCUUGUUGUGACGGUACCUGAAGAAUAAGCACCGGCUAACUACGUG